This 301-nucleotide ribosomal RNA is filed under the name uncultured bacterium. RNAcentral's name for it is "partial 16S ribosomal RNA". It matches the Rfam family "Bacterial small subunit ribosomal RNA", at positions 509 to 809 of the family's 1533-position model. The record is from RNAcentral.
CAGCAGCCGCGGUAAUACGAAGGGUGCAAGCGUCACUCGGAAUUACUGGGCGUAAAGCGUGUGUAGGUGGUUGUUUAAGUCUGUCGUGAAAGCCCUGGGCUCAACCUGGGAAUUGCGAUGGAUACUGGGCGACUAGAGUGCGGUAGAGGAUAGUGGAAUUUCCGGUGUAGCAGUGAAAUGCGUAGAGAUCGGAAGGAACAUCUGUGGCGAAGGCGACUAUCUGGGCCAACACUGACACUAAGACACGAAAGCGUGGGGAGCAAACAGGAUUAGAGACCCCUGUAGUCCCUGUCUCUUAUAU